UACCACCCUUGUUCUGCUUGAUGUCUAACCGCGGUCCGUUAUCCGGAUCCGGGACCCUGUGUGGCGGGUAGUUUGACUGGGGCGGUCGCCUCCUAAAGCGUAACGGAGGCGCGCGAAGGUUGGCUCAGAGCGGUCGGAAAUCGCUCGUUGAGUGCAAUGGCAGAAGCCAGCCUGACUGCAAGACUGACAAGUCGAGCAGAGUCGAAAGACGGCCAUAGUGAUCCGGUGGUCCCAAGUGGGAGGGCCAUCGCUCAACGGAUAAAAGGUACGCCGGGGAUAACAGGCUGAUACUGCCCAAGAGUCCAUAUCGACGGCAGUGUUUGGCACCUCGAUGUCGGCUCAUCUCAUCCUGGGGCUGGAGCAGGUCCCAAGGGUACGGCUGUUCGCCGUUUAAAGAGGUACGUGAGCUGGGUUUAGAACGUCGUGAGACAGUUCGGUCCCUAUCUGCCGUGGGUGUAGGAUACUUGAGAGGAGUUGCCCCUAGUACGAGAGGACCGGGGUGAACGAUCCACUGGUGGACCAGUUGUCGUGCCAACGGCAGUGCUGGGUAGCUAUGAUCGGACAGGAUAACCGCUGAAGGCAUCUAAGCGGGAAGCCCCCCUCAA
This 605-nucleotide ribosomal RNA is filed under the name Cycloclasticus pugetii. RNAcentral describes it as "partial 23S ribosomal RNA". It matches the Rfam family "Bacterial large subunit ribosomal RNA", at positions 2198 to 2802 of the family's 2925-position model. The record is from RNAcentral. Lineage: Bacteria; Pseudomonadati; Pseudomonadota; Gammaproteobacteria; Thiotrichales; Piscirickettsiaceae.